UUUAAGCUUAAAAUAAAAUAAAAUUAGUAUUAGUUAUUUUCUUGAAAUUUAAAGAUUUUGGCGGUAUUUUAGUCCUUUCAGAGGAACCUGUUCUGUAAUCGAUAAUCCACGAUUAAUAUUACUUAUUUUAAUUAGUUUGUAUAUCGUUGUAGUUGAAUAUUUCAUUAGAAUAAAAAUAUUCAAAAUUUAUUAUAAUAAAUAAAAUCAGAUCAAGGUGCAAUUUAUAAAUAAGAAGAAAUGGGUUACAAUAAAAUUAUUUAUAUGAAUAAAUUUAUGAAAAAAAUUUUGAAGGUGGAUUUGAAGGUAAUAAGAUUGAUAUAAAUUUUAUGAUUUUGGCUCUAAAAUAUGC
RNAcentral lists this ribosomal RNA (349 nucleotides) under Hydrochus smaragdineus. RNAcentral describes it as "partial 12S ribosomal RNA". The record is from RNAcentral. Lineage: Eukaryota; Metazoa; Arthropoda; Insecta; Coleoptera; Hydrochidae.